CGCAGCCGCGGUAAUUCCAGCUCCAAUAGCGUAUAUUAAAGUUGUUGCAGUUAAAAAGCUCGUAGUUGAAUUUCGGGAUCAAUAUGUUGGUCGUGCCUCGGUACGUACUAGCUUAUUGGUUUCUCCUUUCUGAAGAACCAUGAUGUCAUUUAUUUGGUGUCGUGGGGAAUCAGGACUGUUACUUUGAAAAAUUAGAGUGUUUAAAGCAGGCUCACGCUUGAAUACAUUAGCAUGGAAUAAUGAAAUAGGACGUUUGAUUCUAUUUUGUUGGUUUCUAGGAUCGACGUAAUGAUUAAUAGGGAUAGUUGGGGGCAUUAGUAUUCAAUUGUCAGAGGUGAAAUUCUUGGAUUUAUUGAAGACUAACUACUGCGAAAGCAUUUGCCAAGGAUGUUUUCAUUAAUCAAGAACGAAAGUUAGGGGAUCGAAGACGAUCAGAUACCGUCGUAGUCU
RNAcentral lists this ribosomal RNA (450 nucleotides) under uncultured Glomeromycotina. RNAcentral's name for it is "SSU rRNA". It matches the Rfam family "Eukaryotic small subunit ribosomal RNA", at positions 569 to 1026 of the family's 1831-position model. Lineage: Eukaryota; Fungi; Glomeromycota. The record is from RNAcentral.